This 1496-nucleotide ribosomal RNA is filed under the name metagenome. RNAcentral's name for it is "bacterial SSU rRNA". It matches the Rfam family "Bacterial small subunit ribosomal RNA". The record is from RNAcentral.
AGAGUUUGAUCCUGGCUCAGGAUGAACGCUAGCGGCAGGCUUAACACAUGCAAGUCGAGGGGCAGCGGGUUCUAGCAAUAGAAUGCCGGCGACCGGCGCACGGGUGCGUAACGCGUAUACAAUUUGCCUUAUACGGGGAGAUAGCCCGGAGAAAUUCGGAUUAAUAUCCCAUAAUAUUAUUUUUCAGCAUUGGAGAAUUCUUAAAGCUACGGCGGUAUAAGAUGAGUAUGCGUCUGAUUAGCUAGUUGGUAAGGUAAUGGCUUACCAAGGCGACGAUCAGUAGGGGGCCUGAGAGGGUUAUCCCCCACACUGGAACUGAGACACGGUCCAGACUCCUACGGGAGGCAGCAGUGAGGAAUAUUGGACAAUGGGCGCAAGCCUGAUCCAGCCAUGCCGCGUGUAGGAAGACGGCCCUAUGGGUUGUAAACUACUUUUAUUGGGGAAGAAACCCUCUUACGUGUAAGAGGCUGACGGUACCCAAGGAAUAAGGACCGGCUAACUCCGUGCCAGCAGCCGCGGUAAUACGUAGGCAGCGAGCGUUGUUCGGAAUUACUGGGCGUAAAGCGUGCGUAGGCGGUGCCUCAAGUUUGGUGUGAAAUCUCCCGGCUCAACCGGGAGGGUGCGCCGAAAACUGAGGUGCUCGAGUGUGGGAGAGGUAAGCGGAAUUCCUGGUGUAGCGGUGAAAUGCGUAGAUAUCAGGAGGAACACCGGCGGUGUAGACGGCUUACUGGACCAUAACUGACGCUGAGGCACGAAAGUGUGGGGAGCAAACAGGAUUAGAUACCCUGGUAGUCCACACCCUAAACGAUGCAUACUUGGUGUGAGCCAUUCAUUUGGUUCGUGCCGGAGCUAACGCGUUAAGUAUGCCGCCUGGGGAGUACGGUCGCAAGGCUGAAACUCAAAGGAAUUGACGGGGGCCCGCACAAGCGGUGGAGCAUGUGGUUUAAUUCGACCCACGCGAAGAACCUUACCUGGGCUCGAACGGCUUAAGACCGGUGUAGAAAUACAUUUUUUCCGCAAGGAACUUGAGUCGAGGUGCUGCAUGGCUGUCGUCAGCUCGUGUCGUGAGAUGUUGGGUUAAGUCCCGCAACGAGCGCAACCCUUGCCCUGUUUUGCCAUCAUUCAGUUGGGAACUAUCAGGGGACCGCCAGCGAUAAGCUGGAGGAAGGUGGGGAUGACGUCAAGUCAUCAUGGCCUUUAUGUCCAGGGCUACACACGUGCUACAAUGGACGGUACAAUGCGCUGCCAACCCGCGAGGGGGAGCAAAUCGCAAAAAACCGUUCUCAGUUCGGAUCGCAGGCUGCAACUCGCCUGCGUGAAGCUGGAAUCGCUAGUAAUGGCAUAUCAGAACGAUGCCGUGAAUACGUUCCCGGGCCUUGUACACACCGCCCGUCACAUCACGAAAGUGGAUUGUACUAGAAGUCUGCAGGCUAACCCGCAAGGGAGGCAGCGGCCCAAGGUAUGAUUCAUGAUUGGGGUGAAGUCGGAACAAGGUA